GAUGAACGCUGGCGGCGUGCCUAAUACAUGCAAGUCGAGCGAACGGACGAGAAGCUUGCUUCUCUGAUGUUAGCGGCGGACGGGUGAGUAACACGUGGAUAACCUACCUAUAAGACUGGGAUAACUUCGGGAAACCGGAGCUAAUACCGGAUGAUAUUUUGAACCGCAUGGUUCAAAAGUGAAAGACGGUCUUGCUGUCACUUAUAGAUGGAUCCGCGCUGCAUUAGCUAGUUGGUAAGGUAACGGCUUACCAAGGCAACGAUGCAUAGCCGACCUGAGAGGGUGAUCGGCCACACUGGAACUGAGACACGGUCCAGACUCCUACGGGAGGCAGCAGUAGGGAAUCUUCCGCAAUGGGCGAAAGCCUGACGGAGCAACGCCGCGUGAGUGAUGAAGGUCUUCGGAUCGUAAAACUCUGUUAUUAGGGAAGAACAUAUGUGUAAGUAACUGUGCACAUCUUGGCGGCACCUAAUCAGAAAGCCACGGCUAACUACGUG
RNAcentral lists this ribosomal RNA (497 nucleotides) under uncultured bacterium. RNAcentral's name for it is "partial 16S ribosomal RNA". It matches the Rfam family "Bacterial small subunit ribosomal RNA", at positions 28 to 507 of the family's 1533-position model. The record is from RNAcentral.